GAUGAACGCUGGCGGCGUGCUUAACACAUGCAAGUCGAACGAAGCACUUUAUUUGAUUUCCUUCGGGACUGAUUAUUUUGUGACUGAGUGGCGGACGGGUGAGUAACGCGUGGGUAACCUGCCUUGUACAGGGGGAUAACAGUCGGAAACGGCUGCUAAUACCGCAUAAGCGCACGGCAUCGCAUGAUGCAGUGUGAAAAACUCCGGUGGUAUAAGAUGGACCCGCGUUGGAUUAGCUAGUUGGUGAGGUAACGGCCCACCAAGGCGACGAUCCAUAGCCGACCUGGGGGGGUGACCGGCCACAUUGGGACUGAGACACGGCCCAAACUCCUACGGGAGGCAGCAGUGGGGAAUAUUGCACAAUGGGCGAAAGCCUGAUGCAGCGACGCCGCGUGAGCGAAGGAGUAUUUCGGUAUGUAAAGCUCUAUCAGCAGGGAAGAUAAUGACGGUGCCUGACUAAGAAGCACCGGCUAAAUACGUG
RNAcentral lists this ribosomal RNA (481 nucleotides) under uncultured bacterium. RNAcentral's name for it is "partial 16S ribosomal RNA". It matches the Rfam family "Bacterial small subunit ribosomal RNA", at positions 28 to 507 of the family's 1533-position model. The record is from RNAcentral.